AACAGGAUUAGAUACCUGGUAGUCACGCCGUAAACGAUGUCGACUUGGAGGUUGUUCCUUGAGGAGUGGCUUCCGGAGCUAACGCGUUAAGUCGACCGCCUGGGGAGUACGGCCGCAGGGUUAAAACUCAAAUGAAUUGACGGGGGCCCGCACAAGCGGUGGAGCAUGUGGUUUAAUUCGAUGCAACGCGAAGAACCUUACCUACUCUUGACAUCCACGGAAUUUGGCAGAGAUGCCUUAGUGCCUUCGGGAACCGUGAGACAGGUGCUGCAUGGCUGUCGUCAGCUCGUGUUGUGAAAUGUUGGGUUAAGUCCCGCAACGAGCGCAACCCUUAUCCUUUGUUGCCAGCGAUUCGGUCGGGAACUCAAAGGAGACUGCCGGUGAUAAACCGGAGGAAGGUGGGGAUGACGUCAAGUCAUCAUGGCCCUUACGAGUAGGGCUACACACGUGCUACAAUGGCGCAUACAAAGAGAAGCGACCUCGCGAGAGCAAGCGGACCUCAUAAAGUGCGUCGUAGUCCGGAUCGGAGUCUGCAACUCGACUCCGUGAAGUCGGAAUCGCUAGUAAUCGUGGAUCAGAAUGCCACGGUGAAUACGUUCCCGGGCCUUGUACACACCGCCCGUCACACCAUGGGAGUGGGUUGCAAAAGAAGUAGGUAGCUUAACCUUCGGGAGGGCGCUUACCACUUUGUGAUUCAUGACUGGGGUGAAGUCGUAACAAGGUAACCGUAGGGGAACCUGCGGCUGGAUCACCUCCUU
RNAcentral lists this ribosomal RNA (758 nucleotides) under uncultured bacterium. Its description in RNAcentral is "bacterial SSU rRNA". It matches the Rfam family "Bacterial small subunit ribosomal RNA", at positions 771 to 1532 of the family's 1533-position model. The record is from RNAcentral.